This 276-nucleotide long non-coding RNA is filed under the name Nicotiana benthamiana. RNAcentral describes it as "long non-coding RNA (NBEN_LNC003539)". Lineage: Eukaryota; Viridiplantae; Streptophyta; Magnoliopsida; Solanales; Solanaceae. The record is from RNAcentral.
UACCACAGAUUCAUCAACAUCCAUGUGGUGAAUAUCUUUCUUAAAGAGAAAGUUAUACCAUUAUGGUCAUGUCAAACUUAUAUGCAAGAUAUGUUUCUGGCAUUAUCGUUGUCCUUUAAUAGUCAUAUUUCCAAGAUACUUUGGCGUACAAUAGAUACGUGACCAACGAUCAUUCAUGACAUAUAUAUAGCCAACAUGCUUGACACCAUUAGAUAUUUCAACUAUAGGGCCAAAAACUUCACGUUUUGCCAGCGAAUUCAAUUCUGAUUGAAUUGC